AGGGUGAACGCUGGCGACGUGGAUAAGGCAUGCAAGUCGAGUGGGUUUAGACCCACGGCAGACGAGGUAGUAACAUGUAGGAACGUACUCCAAAGUCAGGAAUAAUCCGGAGAAAUCCGGAACAAUACUUGAUAUCCCGCAAGGGGAAAGAUUUAUCGCUUUGGAAGCGGCCUGCAUAAUAUCAGCUAGUUGGUAAGGUAAUGGCUUACCAAGGCUAUGACGUUUAGGGGAGCUGAGAGGCUGACCCCCACCGAUGGAACUGAGAUACGGUCCUUACUCC
This 280-nucleotide ribosomal RNA is filed under the name uncultured bacterium. Its description in RNAcentral is "partial 16S ribosomal RNA". It matches the Rfam family "Bacterial small subunit ribosomal RNA", at positions 26 to 339 of the family's 1533-position model. The record is from RNAcentral.